This 292-nucleotide ribosomal RNA is filed under the name uncultured bacterium. RNAcentral describes it as "partial 16S ribosomal RNA". It matches the Rfam family "Bacterial small subunit ribosomal RNA", at positions 505 to 796 of the family's 1533-position model. The record is from RNAcentral.
GUGUCAGCAGCCGCGGUAAGACGGAGGGUGCAAACGUUGUUCGGAAUCACUGGGCAUAAAGAGCACGUAGGCUGCGCGCUAAGUCAGGUGUGAAAUCCCCCGGCUCAACCGGGGAACUGCACCUGAUACUGGCGUGCUCGAGGACGGUAGGGGUGAGUGGAACUCCAGGUGGAGCGGUGAAAUGCGUAGAUAUCUGGAGGAACACCGGUGGCGAAAGCGGCUCACUGGACCGUCUCUGACGCUGAGGUGCGAAAGCUAGGGUAGCAAACGGGAUUAGAUACCCCCGUAGUCC